Molecule: long non-coding RNA, 230 nt
Filed under: Gossypium barbadense (sea-island cotton)
Lineage: Eukaryota; Viridiplantae; Streptophyta; Magnoliopsida; Malvales; Malvaceae
Description: long non-coding RNA (GBAR_LNC022366)
Source: RNAcentral
CCAUAAAAGGAAACUCAAUUCAACAAUUUCAAGCUAACAUACAAUGCCAUUCAAAAACCAUUCAAUAUCCAUACACAAUUGGUAUACAAUAAACUAAUAUUACCAAGUAAGCUUAUGCAAAAUGAACCAAAUUCACUAAAACAUUUACCAAGCACAUUGUCUCAAAACAUAACAUCAUCAAAACGUACUACAUUAUACCGUCCAUGUCACAAUUUCCAUACCUUAACCGC